GACAGAGGGUGCGAACGUUGCUCGGAAUUACUGGGCGUAAAGCGCGUGUAGGCGGUUUCGCAAGUCCGGUGUGAAAGCCCGGGGCUCAACCCCGGAAUUGCGCCCCGAGACUGUAUGACUUGAAUGCGGGAGAGGGAAGCGGAAUUCCUGGUGUAGAGGUGAAAUUCGUAGAUAUCAGGAGGAACACCAGUGGCGAAAGCGGACUUCCUCGGCCCGACAUUGACGCUCAUGUACGAAAGCGCGGGGAGCAAACAGGGAUUAAGAAAC
RNAcentral lists this ribosomal RNA (267 nucleotides) under uncultured bacterium. RNAcentral describes it as "partial 16S ribosomal RNA". It matches the Rfam family "Bacterial small subunit ribosomal RNA", at positions 524 to 785 of the family's 1533-position model. The record is from RNAcentral.